GUCUCAGUAUAAGCAUUUAUACUGCGAAACUGCGGAAAGCUCAUUAUAUCAGUUAUAGUUUAUUUGAUGGUACUCACACUACAUGGAUAACCGUAGUAAUUCUAGAGCUAAUACAUGCCCAGAAGGCCUGACUUCGGAAAGGCUGGACUUAUUAGAUCAAGAGCCAACCAUGGGUUCGCCCAUGACUGAGCUGAAUCAUAGUAAUUUUGCUAAUCGCAGUGGGUUUAUCCCGGCGAUGGGUCAUUCAAAUUUCUGCCCUAUCAGCUGUGAUGUUAGUGUAGUGGACUAACAUGGCGUAAACGGGUGACGGAGGAUUAGGGUCUGAUUCCGGAGAGGGAGCCUGAGAAAUGGCUACCACUUCCAAGGAAGGCAGCAGGCGCGUAAAUUACCCAAUCCCGAUUCGGGGAGGUAGUGACAAGAAAUAACAAUACCGGAUCUUCAAAGAUUUGGUAAUUGGAAUGAGUACAAUCUAAAAUCCUUAACAAGGAACAAUUGGAGGGCAAGUCUGGUGCCAGCAGCCGCGGUAAUACCAGCUCCAAUAGCGUAUAUUAAAGUUGUUGCAGUUAAAAGGCUCGUAGUCGAACUUUUGGUUCUUUCAAACUGUCCCUCUUUCUUUGAUUGAGCGUGACGGUGUCGAGAACCUUCCUGAUGGAGAGCGUUUCUGCCCUUUACUGGGUUGGUUGCGUAAUCCAUCUCUUUUACUGUGAGAAAAACAAAGUGCUCAAAGCAGGCAUUUUUGCUUGAAUGCGUUAGCAUGGAAUAAUAAGAUAGGACUUUGCUUCUAUUUUGUUGGCUCUGAGAAACAAGUAAUGAUUGAUAGGGAUAGUUGGGGGUGCUCGUAUUUAACGGUCAGCGGUGAAAUGCAUGGACCCGUUUAAGACGAACUUAUGCGAAAGCAUUCACCAAGGAUAUCUUCUUUGAUCAAGAACGAA
RNAcentral lists this ribosomal RNA (932 nucleotides) under eukaryotic picoplankton environmental sample. RNAcentral describes it as "bacterial SSU rRNA". It matches the Rfam family "Eukaryotic small subunit ribosomal RNA", at positions 57 to 987 of the family's 1831-position model. The record is from RNAcentral.